RNAcentral lists this transfer RNA (70 nucleotides) under Loxodonta africana (African savanna elephant). It matches the Rfam family "tRNA". From Rfam's summary of the family: Transfer RNA (tRNA) molecules are approximately 80 nucleotides in length. Lineage: Eukaryota; Metazoa; Chordata; Mammalia; Proboscidea; Elephantidae. The record is from Rfam by way of RNAcentral.
GCAUAGGUGGUUCAGUGGUGGAAUUCUCACCUUUCAUGCGAAGACCCAGGUUCGAUUCCCAGCCGAUGCA